AGCCGGGUGUGAGUCUUGAUCUGGGUGUGUGUGUGUGUGUGUGUGUGUGUGUGUGUGUGUAUGUGUGUGUGUGUGACGAGAAGAGAGAGAGAGAAUAGAGAGGAAGAGAGAGCGAGAGGUAGGAGUUGUGUAAAAGGGACUGAAGUCCUGCGUCUUCUGCCGUCUUCUUCUUCUGCUGCUGCUGCUGCUGCGUUGUUAAAAACUAGAGGCUCCACACACACAGACGCGCACACACGCGGAUGCUGUUUCAUGCCGUGGACGCGAAACAAAUCCACAGACAGCGACACACCCAAGCGGAGGACUCCGCCGAUCAAGUGGGCGAGGCAGGCUGAACUCCGCCGGACCGUUCAGACGGAGGUCGGAGCGGCCAGGAGCGACCCGGCCGGUGGUCAAGAUAUAGCAGCACACACAGAGCAGCAGCAGCAGAAGGAGGAAGGAGAAGGAGUCAGCAUUCGUGCCUCCACCGGCGGGCGUGCGUCACUCCACGGCUGUCGGAUUGAAGCUCUCACGCUCGCUGGCUGACUCCCAGAGCUCCCUCACCCUUGGCCCCAAAUGGCUGACACACAGCAGUUCUUCACUGGCAAGCUUUAUGUUCCUGUACACAUGCUAAAGCUGCCAGCUGAAGAACUGCUCUGGUCAGCCCUGCCCCGGAUGACUCAAGGAAAGGAAGCGGAUGGAAGGGCGGUGGAAACGGCACUGAGGAAGAUGGUUGUUUUCACUCUCUCGGUGUUCGGGCUUCUAUAACCUGCCAGAGUUUUAAGGCAGCCAUUGUUUAUAUUCCUGUUUUGGUCGCAUUAAAGUUUUUAUAAGGUUUAUUUCAUUAUUCGUCAAAAGCUGCUUUAAUUGUAUCUCGUGUGUUCUUUUCUUACAAUAAAGGGUGGAAAAAAAACAAAGUUCUGAUUUAUUAUUGCCGUCAAUGAAACGCAUACCAGCAGUGAAAGGCUUAGCUGUUCAAAAAUAACAACGCACUCGCACACCUUUUAAAUUUAAAGUAUCAGGAGAAUGAGAAGCAUUAGAGGGAAAUCAGAUUAUCUUUAAAAGUAAAAUUGUCAAAGCAAAUUCGUCUCAGAUGUGCAAUAACUUCGCAGCCUUUGUUCUCUCCGAGCCUUAAUCUUGCAUGACAAGUCAACAAGCUGACAUUUAGUCACGACUGUGUGAACACAGACUGCUGUUACUUAUAAACCAGAGGGAGAACGCAAAAAAAAAAAAAAAAAGUACCUUAAUGUCUGUUCCCCAAGGCCUGAAGGCAUCAAUGGCGGCUUCAAGGAAUUCUUUCACAGUGUGUUCACUGGUGAAGUCACAAGAUUAUCAAACUAGAGGAGGACCUUGGUGAGUCUUGGUGAAGGUGAAAAUGUCGAACGCUGCACAAUAUCUGCAGCAGUUUCCAUGUGCAAGUUAAAGAACAGCUUCGUUACUGUUCACUCACGUCAAGUCAAGGUCAUUUUCAAUGGUCCUUUAAUUGUUUUUAAAGGGUUCUUCAUAAUCUGAACGGGUGCACGGGUGUUAAAUGCAGAUAAAUUGUGAUGUGUUUUGCAAUAACCAAAAAGGAAUUUUGUGUACGGUUAAAUAAAGUUGAGUUAAACUCGG
Molecule: long non-coding RNA, 1587 nt
Organism: Mugil cephalus (flathead mullet)
Lineage: Eukaryota; Metazoa; Chordata; Actinopteri; Mugiliformes; Mugilidae
Exons: 2
Source: RefSeq, a predicted model, not a curated record